This 577-nucleotide ribosomal RNA is filed under the name Oxalobacteraceae bacterium. RNAcentral describes it as "bacterial SSU rRNA". It matches the Rfam family "Bacterial small subunit ribosomal RNA", at positions 817 to 1399 of the family's 1533-position model. Lineage: Bacteria; Pseudomonadati; Pseudomonadota; Betaproteobacteria; Burkholderiales; Oxalobacteraceae. The record is from RNAcentral.
UAGUUGUCGGGUCUUAAUUGACUUGGUAACGCAGCUAACGCGUGAAGUAGACCGCCUGGGGAGUACGGUCGCAAGAUUAAAACUCAAAGGAAUUGACGGGGACCCGCACAAGCGGUGGAUGAUGUGGAUUAAUUCGAUGCAACGCGAAAAACCUUACCUACCCUUGACAUGUACAGAAUCCCGAAGAGAUUUGGGAGUGUUCGAAAGAAAACUGUAACACAGGUGCUGCAUGGCUGUCGUCAGCUCGUGUCGUGAGAUGUUGGGUUAAGUCCCGCAACGAGCGCAACCCUUGUCAUUAGUUGCUACGAAAGGGCACUCUAAUGAGACUGCCGGUGACAAACCGGAGGAAGGUGGGGAUGACGUCAAGUCCUCAUGGCCCUUAUGGGUAGGGCUUCACACGUCAUACAAUGGUACAUACAGAGGGCCGCCAACCCGCGAGGGGGAGCUAAUCCCAGAAAGUGUAUCGUAGUCCGGAUUGUAGUCUGCAACUCGACUACAUGAAGUUGGAAUCGCUAGUAAUCGCGGAUCAGCAUGUCGCGGUGAAUACGUUCCCGGGUCUUGCACUCACCGCCCGUCA